GGGUUGCAACCGGCUCCUAGCCUAUCGUCACCGCCUUUCUGUGGCGUUUGCACAAGAUUAGCCAAUCAGAGGCCUGUUGCGAGGUCGUCCCAGGAAAGAAGUGAUGAUUGGCGUGGCGUGGGGGCGGGGAGCUCCUAACGAGAAGGGAGUGACCAUGGAAGGGCGGAACCAGGACGUUAGGGGCCAUAGGGCGCGUGCGCAGGGGUUUAGAAGGUUCCAGGUCCGCUGAGCCGUUUGGACAGCCAGGCUGCGGGAGGGGUACGGUAUCGCGAGGUUUGGCGAGGCCCGGGAGUGGGAGGGGGCUGCCUGUAGAGCUGUCGUCAGUUUGUCGGCGCACCCUCAGCUGCCGGUGCUACGUGACUGAAACGGAAGUCCACCAGGCUCCCCCGUCCCUGGGAUUCUCCAGGCAAGAACACUGGAGUGGGUUGCCAUUUCCUUCUCCAGUGCAUGAAAGUGAAGUCGCUCAGUCGUGUCCGACUCAUAGCGACCCCGUGGACUACAGCCUACCAGGCUCCUCCAUCCGUGGGAUUUUCCAGGCAAGAGUACUGGAGUGCGGUGCCAUUGCCUUCUCCGCCGGCAGCCCUAGACUGAGGGAAAGACAGAGAAAGAGGGAAGAGUGAGGGGAAGAGCCUUAACCCGGGCGCGCCCAGCCGUUCUGUGGCGUAGAGAUCCGGAAAGCCAAAGUUGUGCCGGGACGUGAGGAAGACGUCAGAAUACCCCACCGCGGCGAGGCCGCAUGGAGUAUCCCGGAACCUCGCCGCAGAGUGCUGCGGGGGUGCGGUGCAAGGCCGUUGCCCAGAGACCUCUGUUAGGGGAAAAUUGUCUUCCCACGCCGUUCGCACAUUCUGACAGCUCUAUAGAUAGGCGUGUGUGCGAGCGUAUGGGAAAAUAAAAAUUACUAAAAUAAUGAUGUUUGGUAGAGGACGACGGUAUUAAAAGUGAUUUGUAAAAAUUCCUUUGGCUUGUUACUCUUGAAAUCUAAUUUAAAAUUAAGGUACUUGUAGGGGGUUCCCUGGUGGUCUAGUGGUUAGGCCUAUGCGCUUUCAAUGUCGUGGACCCUAGCUAGAUCCCUGGUAGGGAACUAAGAUCUCACAUGCCCCGUGGCCAAGAAGAAAGUGUUUUUCACUUUUUCCACAAUGAGCGUGUGGGUAGUGCAGCACAAUACCGGUAAGAGCUUCAUUGUCCUGCCACUGCUUCCCUCCCACGGGAUGAUCGUUUUAUCCUUUGACUCUCAGCCUAAG
Bos taurus (domestic cattle) is the source of this 1241-nucleotide long non-coding RNA. NCBI's taxonomy places the organism in Eukaryota, Metazoa, Chordata, Mammalia, Artiodactyla, Bovidae. The record is from Ensembl.